RNAcentral lists this long non-coding RNA (720 nucleotides) under Amborella trichopoda. Its description in RNAcentral is "long non-coding RNA (ATRI_LNC002355)". The record is from RNAcentral. Lineage: Eukaryota; Viridiplantae; Streptophyta; Magnoliopsida; Amborellales; Amborellaceae.
CUCUCUCCAGCAAAUGGAAAAAUUAUCUAAUCAAAGAAACAAAAAACCUAAGAAGCUCAAAUAACAAGUAAUCAUAAAUUAGCACAUGUAAUUUUAAUUUUAGAGAAUACAAUUUAUUUUUUUAAAAAACUGGAUAUUUUUUAAAACUCAAAAAGACUCAAUAAAUCUACAGUCUAAAAAAUCCAAUGCCUGAUUUGAAAUGGGGAUUGGUUUUCUUUUGAUUGUUAGGGCCAUCCUGUUUGGGAUGGAGAUGGAGAGAGGGUUUCAACUUUGGUUGGGAUUGAGAUGGGGAGAGGGUUUCACCUUUAAUUGGGAUUGAGAUAAAGGGUGGGAUGGAGCCCUUUUUUAUUUGUAAGUAUGGAAAGCUCUUCAAGCUUCAUAGAUCCAUUGAUCGAUUGACUGAUUUUUUGCAUCUUCAAACAAGAAGAGCCAUUUGCAAAAAUCAUUGAGCUUGCAUCUUGCUACUCCCCACAAGUGAAAAAAAUAGGAAAUGAGAGAGAGAGAGAGAGAAAGAGAGAGGCGGACUCAACCAAAAAGAGCCUUCGAUGAUCAUAGACAGAGCGGCUCUAAUGGCCGCAGAGAGAGAAAGCAGAUAGAAGCAGGAGUGGUAGGCUCUAACGGUCACAGAGAGAAGCGGGAAUGAGGGAGAUGGAGAGAUUUGGAGUUAAAGCAGGAAUAAGGGAGGAGAUGGAGAGAUUUGAGGAGAUUUGGAGUUAAAAC